AGCGAACGCUGGCGGCAGGCUUAACACAUGCAAGUCGAGCGCCCCGCAAGGGGAGCGGCAGACGGGAGAGUAACACGUGGGAACAUACCUUUUGGUUCGGAACAACUGAGGGAAACUUCAGCUAAUACCGGAUAAGCCCUUACGGGGAAAGAUUUAUCGACGAAAGAUUGGCCCGCGUCUGAUUAGCUAGUUGGUGAGGUAACGGCCCACCAAGGCGACGAUCAGUAGCUGGUCUGAGAGGAUGAUCAGACUCACUUGGACUGAGACACGGCCCAGACUCCUACGGGAGGCAGCAGUGGGGGAUAUUGGACAAUGGGGGCAACCCUGAUCCAGCCAUGCCGCGUGAGUGAUGAAGGCCUUAGGGUUGUAAAGCUCUUUUGCCCGGGAAGAUAAUGACGGUACCGGGAGAAUAAGCCCCGGCUAACUUCGUG
Molecule: ribosomal RNA, 431 nt
Filed under: uncultured bacterium
Lineage: Bacteria
Description: partial 16S ribosomal RNA
Rfam family: Bacterial small subunit ribosomal RNA
Source: RNAcentral